Molecule: ribosomal RNA, 133 nt
Filed under: uncultured bacterium
Lineage: Bacteria
Description: partial 16S ribosomal RNA
Source: RNAcentral
UGGUUAACGUCAAUAGUUGCAGGUAUUAACUACAACUCCUUCCUCACCACUGAAAGUGCUUUACAACCCAAGGCCUUCUUCACACACGCGGCAUGGCUGGAUCAGGGGUUGCCCCCAUUGUCCAAUAUUCCCC